This 409-nucleotide long non-coding RNA is filed under the name Brassica rapa (field mustard). RNAcentral's name for it is "long non-coding RNA (BRAP_LNC007052)". The record is from RNAcentral. Lineage: Eukaryota; Viridiplantae; Streptophyta; Magnoliopsida; Brassicales; Brassicaceae.
UGUAGGAUUAACAACUGGUAUAUCACCCUGUCCUCCCUGAGCUAUAAUAACAUCUAGAGCUGAAACCAAACCAAUCAUCAGAUUAAAGAAAACAGGUCAGUUCGUUGCAAUAACACUAACUCUUAAGAAACUUUUAAGGAUGUGCAAGAAAAACAGAGCAGCUUAUACUCUAAUGUUGUAAACAGACAACAAAGAGAUUACGUGAAGUGAUAAGAAGGCAUAGAAGCAUGAUCUGGAAGCAACGAGGAGCUAUACGGUGAGGCAUUUCUUUCCGUUCCUUGUUAGUUGAAGCUUUUGAAAGAGAGAGACUUGUCAGGUAGUCUUGGGAUGUGGGAGAGGGAAGAUAGAAUGGUUGCGAAGAAGUUCCAUCUCUCAGGUAUAAAGAUGAAGAGAAAAGGAGAAUCAUAGA